Molecule: ribosomal RNA, 252 nt
Filed under: uncultured bacterium
Lineage: Bacteria
Description: partial 16S ribosomal RNA
Rfam family: Bacterial small subunit ribosomal RNA
Source: RNAcentral
ACGAAGGUCCCAAGCGUUGUUCGGAAUAACUGGGCGUAAAGCGUGUGUAGGCUGCGCGGAAAGUCAAAUGUGAAAGCCCAGGGCUUAACCCUGGAACUGCAUUCGAUACUCCCGUGCUAGAGUAAUGGAGAGGUAAGUGGAAUUCCCGGUGUAGCAGUGAAAUGCGUAGAUAUCGGGAGGAACAUCAAUGGCGAAGGCAACUUACUGGACAUUUACUGACGCUCAGACACGAAGGCUAGGGGAGCGAAAGGG